RNAcentral lists this long non-coding RNA (378 nucleotides) under Helianthus annuus (common sunflower). RNAcentral describes it as "hypothetical non coding rna". Lineage: Eukaryota; Viridiplantae; Streptophyta; Magnoliopsida; Asterales; Asteraceae. The record is from RNAcentral.
GUGUGGAGACACUGAUCCACUGUAUUUCAACUUCUGAGGCUGAAGAAAUGACUGCAAAACUUGAGGAAUAUUAGAUUAAAAAUAUACCUAGACCUGGACAAGUGGAUUUUUAUCAAUGGAGGCCCCUAUAUGCUAGCAUUUUCAUGAGACGGUCGAUGCAUUCCGAGUGAAAGCAAAUGACAAACGGUGUAAGUGACUCUUUUGUUGGUGCUCUCCUAAUAAAGAUUGUUGACGACCAAUCCAUUUUUAGAGGUACUUGAGAGAUCCAAGACAGUCAUGUUGUCGUAAGAGUAGUGUAAAGGAAGCUUCUUGAGUUGCAACAAGUGUGUAUAUGUGUAUAUAAAAGGAUAAUGUUACGGAAUACUUUAUUUAAUCCAU